This is a non-coding RNA of Parathielavia hyrcaniae, 113 nucleotides long. The record is from the annotation of a GenBank genome assembly. NCBI's taxonomy places the organism in Eukaryota, Fungi, Ascomycota, Sordariomycetes, Sordariales, Chaetomiaceae.
GGCUGGAUGGCCGAGCGGUCCAAGGCGGUAGACUCAAGUAAUUUACUUGCUUCCCUGAAAACGGGCGAAUUCUACUCUCGAAAGAGGCGCGCGUUCGAAUCGCGCUCCAGUCA